CGUGCCCUCCAAGGCGAAGAAGCCCUGGUGUUUUCAAUGGCGUUGCCCGUGAGAGCUGUGCGCUCAGGACAAGAAGAGUAUAAGAAUACAUAGCACCAAGCAGAAGGGGAUCUACAAAAGUUCUCCUGCAUCCCAAAUAUCCACAGAGUUCCUUAAAGAUCAUCUGGCCUCCAGAAGAUGUGGAGAAAACAACAGGUCCAAAGACUUGAGGACCCACCAGCAAAAAGAAGCAUUCGACAGACAUUCCAAAAACAGCUCAUGCCCUG
RNAcentral lists this long non-coding RNA (266 nucleotides) under Dasypus novemcinctus (nine-banded armadillo). RNAcentral describes it as "lncRNA (ENSDNOG00000052687.1)". Lineage: Eukaryota; Metazoa; Chordata; Mammalia; Cingulata; Dasypodidae. The record is from RNAcentral.